Molecule: ribosomal RNA, 644 nt
Filed under: Triticum aestivum (bread wheat)
Lineage: Eukaryota; Viridiplantae; Streptophyta; Magnoliopsida; Poales; Poaceae
Description: partial small subunit ribosomal RNA
Source: RNAcentral
AUGGCGUCCCUCAACUGCUACUCCUUGUUACUGGUGGUGGUUGCAUUGGUCACGACGCCACUUGCCGUUGUGGCCGGCGACCCGGACAUCCUCGCCGACUUUGUCGUCCCAAACGACAUGUACGGGAUAGCACCAAUGAACAUCACCGGCGACUUCUUCACCUACACCGGCUUUCGCGCCACCAUGAACAUGACCAUGCCGAUGCCGGGGGCGCAGAACUUCACUGUGACCAAGGCCAGCAUGACCGAGUUCCCGGCACUCAACGGGCAGAGCGUGUCCUACGCCAUGCUCAAGUUCCCCUCCGAAUCCAUCAACCCACCCCAUACCCACCCUCGUGCAGCAGAGCUACUGCUCGUCCUUCACGGUGCGCUCUCCGUUGGCUUCGUCGACACGGCUGGCAAGCUCUACACUCAGGACCUAGCCGUCGGCGACAUGUUCAUAUUCCCCAAGGGUCUGGUGCACUAUCAGUCCAACCCAGGGCAAAGCCCCGCAGUUGCACUCUCGGCAUUCGGUAGCGCCGCCGCGGGCACCGUGUCUGUUCCUGUUACCGUGUUUGGUACUGGUGUUGACGAUGCGGUGCUCGCCAAGUCCUUCAAGACUGACCUGCCCACCGUGCAAAAGCUCAAGGCGGCACUCACUCCGCC